RNAcentral lists this unclassified non-coding RNA (324 nucleotides) under soil metagenome. RNAcentral describes it as "partial contains 5.8S ribosomal RNA, internal transcribed spacer 2, and large subunit ribosomal RNA". The stretch from base 1 to 120 matches the Rfam family "5.8S ribosomal RNA", at positions 35 to 154 of the family's 154-position model. The record is from RNAcentral.
GAUGAAGAACGCAGCGAAAUGCGAUAACUAGUGUGAAUUGCAGAAUUCAGUGAAUCAUCGAAUCUUUGAACGCACAUUGCGCCCCUUGGUAUUCCAUGGGGCAUGCCUGUUCGAGCGUCAUUUGUACCUUCAAGCUUUGCUUGGUGUUGGGUGUUUGUCCCGAGGGACUCGCCUUAAAGUAAUUGGCAGCCAGUGUUUGGUUUUGAAGCGCAGCACAAGUCGCGAUUCAAGGCUACACGCCCGCUUCCACAAGCCUUUUUUCACUUUUGACCUCGGAUCAGGUAGGGAUACCCGCUGAACUUAAGCAUAUCAAUAAGCGGAGGA